This 418-nucleotide long non-coding RNA is filed under the name Linum usitatissimum (flax). Its description in RNAcentral is "long non-coding RNA (LUSI_LNC001632)". Lineage: Eukaryota; Viridiplantae; Streptophyta; Magnoliopsida; Malpighiales; Linaceae. The record is from RNAcentral.
UAAAAAGGAAAACAAUUUCUCGUUAAUCAGAAAACAGGGGAAGGAAAGGAAAGCAAAGAAGCAAAUAUAUGUAUUGAUGAUAAGAUAAGAUGGAUCAUGUCGGUAGAGAGAGAGAGAGAGCAGCAGACCUUUUGUUCUCCUCCCAUGGCUGUAGGCUGCUUAGAGAAUUGAGAGGGGGAAGAAAUAAGGGGAAAAUGAGUUUGUGAAGUGGAAUAAUGAAGAUAGAAAGCUGAGAGGACACUUGGAUACAGAUAUGAGAAAGGCAAAAUUAUUUGUUGGAAUUUGGAACUUAAUUAAGCUAGCUGGUUUAUUGUGCGAUCUGGUUCACACGAUAAUGAUAUGAGAGGACUGGGGAGAAAGUUUAUCGUAGCCAAAGGCUAGCUAAUUUGUACCAACCAUAUAUGAGUAUGAUUGUAUG